AGUUUUAUAGUCAAUAAAUGAUAUUAAAUUGCAAAUUUAAAGUAAUAAUUUAAUUAUUAAAACUU
Molecule: transfer RNA, 65 nt
Filed under: Morophaga formosana
Lineage: Eukaryota; Metazoa; Arthropoda; Insecta; Lepidoptera; Tineidae
Description: tRNA-Cys
Source: RNAcentral